Molecule: ribosomal RNA, 855 nt
Filed under: Hysterothylacium aduncum
Lineage: Eukaryota; Metazoa; Nematoda; Chromadorea; Rhabditida; Raphidascarididae
Description: SSU rRNA
Rfam family: Eukaryotic small subunit ribosomal RNA
Source: RNAcentral
UACGUGGAUAACUGUGGUAAUUCUAGAGCUAAUACAUGCACCAAAGCUCCGAAUUUUUGACGAGCGCAUCUAUUAGAUUAAAACCAAUCGGGUUUCGGCCCGUUUGUUGGUGACUCUGAAUAACUAUGGCUGAUCGCAUGGUCUAGAACCGGCGACGUGUCUAUCAAGUGUCUGCCUUAUCAACUGUCGAUGGUAGUUUAUGUGCCUACCAUGGUUGUAACGGGUAACGGAGAAUAAGGGUUCGACUCCGGAGAGGGAGCCUGAGAAACGGCUACCACAUCCAAGGAAGGCAGCAGGCGCGCAAAUUACCCACUCUCGGCAUGAGGAGGUAGUGACGAAAAAUAACGAGACCGUUCUCUAUGAGGCCGGUUAUCGGAAUGGGUACAAUUUAAACCCGUUAACGAGGAUCUAUGAGAGGGCAAGUCUGGUGCCAGCAGCCGCGGUAAUUCCAGCUCUCAAAGUGUAUAUCGUCAUUGCUGCGGUUAAAAAGCUCGUAGUUGGAUCUGCGCCUCAGGACCUGGUCCGCCCACUGGGUGAGAACUGGGCUCCUGGGCUAGUUCUGCUGGUUUUCCCUGCGUUGCCUUCAUCGGUAGCGUAGGGUGGCUAGCGAGUUUACUUUGAAAAAAUUAGAGUGCUUCACGCGGGCUUAUGUCUGAAUACUCGUGCAUGGAAUAAUAGAAUAGGAUCUCGGCUCUAUUUUGUUGGUUUUCUGAUCUGAGAUAAUGGUUAAGAGGGACGGACGGGGGCAUUCGUAUCGCUGCGUGAGAGGUGAAAUUCUUGGACCGUAGCGAGACGUCCGACUGCGAAAGCAUUUGCCAAGAAUGUCUUCAUUAAUCAAGAACGAAAGUCAGAGGU